Molecule: unclassified non-coding RNA, 150 nt
Filed under: uncultured Leotiomycetes
Lineage: Eukaryota; Fungi; Ascomycota; Leotiomycetes
Description: sequence contains ITS1
Source: RNAcentral
CAGAGUUUGUGCCCUUACGGGUAGAUCUCCCACCCUGUGUUAUCGUCACCUUUGUUGCUUUGGCGGGCCGCCAGGCCUUGGCCAGGCUACCGGCUUCGGAGGACCCUCAACCCUUGAAUAUCAGUGUCGUCUGACUACUAUAUAAUAGUU